GACUGAAACAUUCCUCGUAUCAGUGCUAAGAGGAAGGCUAUAUGAGCAAUUAAUUGUGCAAAUAUUCUGAAAAGGUAGAGGAGAGACGAUGAAGAGGUCGUACACGUGCUGCAAUACGUGGGUGAGCCAUUUUGCUCCGUCUGCCUCACCUCUUUUCCUUGAAUCUUCCACCCAAAGUGCAGUAAGUCAUGUUAUUUAUAUAACAGAAUUAUAUAAUAUGCAUAUCACAUAUUAUAUUUGUUCUAUAUAUGCAUAUUAUAUAUCUUCUGUAUAUAAAUAGCAGGGAAUCAGGAGCCUCGCUGGGCCAGGAUGAAUUCUCCCACACUGCAGCUACACAGGUGUCAUGAACGUGACAUAAGCGUGACAUGAAGCGCAGUGAGCAUCUGCUGCUGACUUCCAAAAAUGGACAAAAAAUUAUAACAUGAAAGAGAUUGGGAUACCAUCGAUGCCCUUGAGACGAGGAACACAAACCUCAUUUCAGAAGUGCUGCCAUUCAAUCAGAUAUAUGAUAAAAAUUUUGGUGAUCUCAAUGAAGAGUCCUACAUCCAAGCUGCACAUCUUGGGGAGGAAGUCUCUACUGCUGCUGAGCCUAGUGGAGAUGGUGCCAGCAUGGAGCAUGAAGGCCCCGACCUCACUACUGGUGCCAGGCAGCACUCCUUGCCACCUGCAAGUCAUGCUGGAUGUAAUAAGCAGUGCAAGUAGUGCAAGGUGUAGUAAUACCUUUGAAGCAUCACUCCAUCUAUAGGAAGCAAGCUAUUUUAUGUAGAGAAAUAACUAAGGAGAUAUUCUACACUAUAUCAUAUCCUCUUUUUUUCCUAUAUAGUCAGCUAGCAUCUUAUAUUCUUGAUUACUUCAUUAUAGUUUUUUUUUUUUUAUCAAACUUCUAAAACAUUAUAUUGCAAAUAUAGCCUGUGAAUUUAAGUGAUAAUUUAUUUCAAUAAUUUCUUUCAUCAAGCAAAGUGUACGUAUAUCUGUGCCUCAUAUAAUGAUUUCUUACCAGUGUGUUUUAUUGUAAACCUUUUACUGAAUCUGUUCAUUCACUCCUUUAUAGAUAAGUGAACAUAACUUAUACAGCAGUCAAUAUUCUGGCAGUUAAUGCAAAACUAUUGUUGGAUUGAGACUAAGUUAACCUAACUUAUUGUGUUUUGAGAGCUGACUACCAAGGCAAUGUGAGGAGUAAUGUUACAUGAUGAUUAAUGUACAUGAAUGUUACAGAAUGUUCCAUAAGUGGUGAGCACCAUGCAGGCCCCUCAGGCUACACAGUCCCACACCAAAGACUGGCUGGCUGACUGACGGGACUGCUUGUUAUGGUGGGUGGCUCGGCGACUCGUCUGUGUCUACGCGAGCGCCAAACAGCUGUAACAGGGCUGCGUGGUGUGCGUCGUGCCUUGUGUGUGGCAACAGUGAUUCGUGCUUACAAGCGUCUCUACUAACAACUGUUGACUCGCGCAUCUCUGCCAACGUUUAGCGGAGUGACUGGGAUUUAUCAUGUGCAAUGGCUGCAUGACUAAUGGAGCUGAGACACGUGUCAAAUUAAAGUGGCAAGGGUGUCUUGUCUAUAUGCAAGCAUCCCUUCAAGCACUGCAGCUGGUCGCCGAACAGACUAUGAAUGGUCGACUGACGGCGACUAGUUUACUUGACCGGUGAGUGAGGCGGGCGGCGGUGAGCCUGGAGUAACUGCCUGGGGCGUCUUCCAGUGACAAGUGGGUAUGCUAAAUGUAGUGAUAAAGUUCACUUGAAUGUUUAGUUCCCUUGCAUUCUUAAGGUUUAGGUUAGUAAUAUGCUUCUGGUGCGUGCUGGUUGGUAGGAUGUUUGACAGAGACGAGUGACAGAUGGCGCUGAUGUCUCAAGCCUAACGCAACAAACAGUACUGUUGGCUGCCUAGUCUGCCAGCGCCAAGCAGCAACGAGGAGGGUGAUGGAUGGGUGUUCUCGACGAAAUUGGUCGACUCAUGUUUCGUGGCAACAGAGUGAGGCUACGUGUGAGACUUGGGUGGUGGUGUCACAUGCGCGUUACUACAAGUUCGGAUAAGUGUUCAAAGCUUUUUUGCAAUACUAGCCAAGAGGACAGCGGCGGUAGUGAUGUGCCAGAAUUUGCUGCUAUAGCUUUGAGUGGUAGUGUGUGGCUAUAAUAGUAAUCUGGUGUGUAUAUGAAAUUUACAAUUAACUUAAGGACUUUAAACUAGUGUCAUACUUAUUCCGUUGCAAUUUUGUUCAUUUAUUUUCCUUGCAGAUCUUUCGUUGCUCCUGGUCGCUGGCCCCUUACCUGCUGCUGCUCAAGACUUCCUCUCGUCACCUGCGCCUGAGUAGCGGCCGAGGACGCUACAACUCCCUACAUACCCCAAGGAUUCUAUCUAUAUUCCUUGAAUACCCCGAGCGGCGCCUCCCCAUUCCCUGGCGUGGGUGAGCCGCCUACCGACCCUCCACUCAUGGAUCAGUAGUGUUGCUGGUUAAUGAGUACAUGGUCCUAAGAGUUCGAGAGACUCUCCACUUUUGAAAUUUUAUUUUAUUUUUUUUAACAAUUUUUUUCGCUGAGAACUCGAGAUACCAUUUCUCCGGACGCUCUUCGAAGUAUUGUAAGCCAUAAUUUCAACGUUUCAUUUCGUGAAAUAUAUUAAUUUUAUCUGAAGAAGCAAUCAAGUUCCAAUCAAUUUAACUAAUUAAUGUCUUCACAAUUUGUUACAAAACACAAUCUGUUGUUGUCAAUGUGUAAUACGAAGAUGUGUAGAGUGGUAGUAUCAGAUAAAUCACAUGUAAUCUACACAACCUACACAAGUGUAAGGAAUUUUAAAUAUAAAUACACAUUUUGCUUCAA
Long non-coding RNA from Portunus trituberculatus (swimming crab), 2814 nucleotides. RefSeq lists it as uncharacterized. NCBI's taxonomy places the organism in Eukaryota, Metazoa, Arthropoda, Malacostraca, Decapoda, Portunidae. The record is from RefSeq and is a predicted model, not a curated record. The transcript has 8 exons.